Molecule: non-coding RNA, 6287 nt
Organism: Equus caballus (horse)
Lineage: Eukaryota; Metazoa; Chordata; Mammalia; Perissodactyla; Equidae
Source: RefSeq, a predicted model, not a curated record
CAGUCCGCCCCGGAGCCGGCGCCUCUGGGUCCUCCCGGCCGCGCCUGCGCGUGUCCCCCGCUCGGGGAGGGCGAGGGCGGCAGAGGAUCACAGAGCCUCGCGGAGGAGGGAGCCGGCCUCGGAAGGAGCCUCGGGGGUGUGCGUCUCAGGAGUGAGUGUGUGUGCAGGGGCGUGUACCUCCUACUGGAUGGAAGAAACACAAACGCUGGUCGUCCCGGAGAGGCAUCACAUGGGCUUCUGAGACCUUUACACCCUGCUCGUCCUUCGUGUUUUGAAGUCAGUGGUGGUCACCCGAGCGGCGGGCUGGAGGACGCGGUUUGGUCCGGUCCGUCUGCGAAGAGCGCAGCGGAAACGUUUCCCCAGGGCUGUGGCUGCGAGGAAGGCUCGGUCCCCACGGCGGCGCCGCGCCCCGAGAGACGAGCCCGCUCCCCGCCUCUGGGGGCGCCUGGCUCCCGCCCUCCCCCGUUCUUGGACUGCUCCAGGUCCCACGCUGCCUCCGGAACAGUCACGGGGCUUUCACGGUCCCUUGUCCUUUCUCAGGAAAUGCAGUCUGUCUAAACCACAAAGCUCUCUGUGGUUCAGUUUUCAGGGAGUGGGGAGAACCUGCAAAUCUUGAGGGCCUGGGGCCCUUCACACUCACCCUGCUGGGCCUGGUCCUGGAGAAUCUUGGCACCUUGUAGGAGUGGGGUUCCCUCACCUAGUGCUGGGCAGCAGCCACCACAAAGCUUCGUGGUGUAAACUGACAACCACUCUAUUAUGAUCACACAUUCUGUGGGUCAGCUACCGUGUGAGGACAGCCUGUCUCCAUGAAGUCUGGGGUGUCACCUGGGAAGAUCCGAAGGCCGGGGCCUGGGAUCAUCCAAGGCCUGCUCACACCCACGUCUGGAGUUGAUGCUGGCUGUUGGCUGGGCCUCAGCUGGGGCUGUCACCGGAACACCUCCACGUGGCUGCAUGGGCUUCCUCACAGCAUGGUGGGCUGGUUCCAAGAAAGAUGCUCCCCUGGAGUGUCAGGGGAAGCUGCAUCAUUGUUAUGACUUAGCCUUGAAAGUCGCGUAGUGUCACUUCUGCCAUAACCACAGACCUACCCAGAUUCAAAGAAUAGGAAACAAAGAAGACCUCCCUCAAUGGGACCGUGUCACUAUCACAUCAUAAGAGCAUGUGAGAGGGACAUACUGUUUUUGGUGUCCUUGGAAAGUGACCUGCUUCAUGUGGGUCCAGAAAGAAUUAGGGUCUAAAUCUCCCUGGAAGGCACCCUGCCUGCUGACUUUCCUAUCCAGUGCAGGUGCCACCUGCCUGCUGUCAUGCUGGAUGUGGCCAGGGGCAGGGCAGUGGGACAGGGAUGCUGGCCCUGCAGCCGAGGUGUUCGAGAGGGACUCCCACCACUGCAGCUCAUGGAGUGGGUUCUGCUGGUCUCAUGUCAGCUCGUCAGCUCGGUCGGUUCAGAGGUGGGCAGGUGACUGACGGGAGCUCAGACAGAGCCCAGUGAAGGACCGUGCUCUGUAGUUGGGGGACGAAUAGCUGUCUUCCGCUUCUCCACCCUGCUCCCCCUUCCUUCCUUCUUUCUCACGUCGGGGUGAAUGAAGCAGCACGCAGCCCCCAGAGCUGCCAGUGGCCUUGGCACACGAGGACGGCUCGGCCGAAGAGGAGGCUGUAAGAGAAGUGUGGAGACUCAGGCGGGACACACCCCGGGGGCCAGCCCACCGGAAGCUCACAGACUGCUAGAGCUUCCAGUUUCGAGUCCCAUAGAUUUCCCUUCUGUUUAAGACCGUUUGAGUUGGGUUUCCCAAUUGUUUUCUUUUUCUCAGCAUGAAACCGCCCAAGUGACACAGAUGGGAACCAGGUUUGUGGCUGGGUCAGUAGCCGGUGGCCAGCAGAUCAGGGAGGUGGAAAAGUAGAUAAUGCUAUUGCCAUGAGAACCGAGAAUCUUUCCAGAUUGUCAGGUGACGGAAGCCCGGAUCCGGGGGCGGAGCUGGAUCCAGGGGCCCCAGGCGUGGCCAAUUUUCAGCAGACUCACAUCAGGUUGGUCCUUGGAAGCUGAACACAACCUGCCUUACUUGUUGCCAGUGCUGUGGCAUCUGCCCAGAGGUGACAUAAAGGCCUGGCAUGGCUUCUGACAUCCUAUUCCUACGGUUGCCAGUUAAAAUACAGGGCACCCAGCUAAAUUUUAAGCUGGGAGAAACAGCAAAUACAUUUUUAGUAUAUCCUAAAUAUUGCAUAGUAUGUACUUAUGCCGAAAAUUAUGCAUUAUCUGAAAUUCAAAUUCAGCUGGGCCUUCUGCAUGUUUCUUUGCUACACUGGCGGCCCUCUCUUUCCAUCGCCUGGUGGACUUUGCAGAAGGACGGAGUUGCCAGUUCUUUACACGUGAUUCUUGCUUGUGGAAUGGGGAGCUCUCAGCCCAGGACUUUGGAGCUCAGGGCCUGUGGGUCAGCCUGGUCACCUGACCACACUGGCCAGCCCCUGGGUUCUGGUUUGGUCACCAGAGCAGGAACAGAACCCGGGACCGACAGGAAGGGACGAGCAUCCUCUAGUCCUCUCGCCUUGCGUUUUGCAGUAAGACGUGUCCUCAGAAGCCCUGAUAGACGCUCUCCUGUGUGGGCCCCAGCCUCUGCACCAGCCCGGUGGCUCCGGGAGGCUGGACCCCUGCUGGGUUGCUCAGGCUUCCGCUGCGUCAUCCCAGCAGUGACUCUGAGCGCUGCUACUUAUGAGGGUUAACCUUAAGUUAUUCUGAGGGGGACAGCAGCCUGUCACUCAGACCUGGGUGGGUGUCCGGAGACCAGAGCUCUGCCUACAGAGUGGUCUGUGCCUGCCCUGACGGAGUGACCGGGUGACUGAGGCCCAGGCCUGAACCCCAGGAGCUCACCUAGAGGAGAGAUGGGCAUCGCUCAGCUGGCCAGUGCCGUCCAGCAAGAGCUGAGGGUGGCAUUGCUCACUCUGCCUGUGCUGCCUGGUGGGCAUCGCAGGCCCCACCGCAGAACCAAGGGGGUCAUUCCCUCCGCAGCUGGGAGGGUUGCCCUUGGCUGAAGGGAUCUGCCUGGCCCAAGGCCAUGCCCUUUUCCAAGGGCAGCCUGAAGCCCCUCAGCUCAUGGCAGGACACCUCUGCAGGCCCAUGGCCACUCCAGAGUUCCAGCUGCCCUGAUUCCCUGCCUGGCUCCUGCUUACCUGGUGCCAUCUCAUUCACUCCUGGGGAACUCACCACAACAGUGUGAUGCACAGUCUCCACAGAAGGGAUAUUUAAGUUGGGUUCUGAUGACUAUGUAAGAGUUUUCUUGGAAGGAAAGGAGAGGGGCAACAGCAGAGGGAACAGUGUGAACAAAGGCAUGGCAUGCAGGUGCUCCUUGUUAGGGCAUUUGUGCUGCUUCCAUGUGGCUGCAGCUGGGGGCAGAGGAGGCCACUCUGGGCCUCGUCAUGUGGUCCUGGAUCUUUGGGUCAUUCUUGGAGCUGCCUGACCUGAGAAAGUUUUGCUCGAGGGUAACAAGUAUGCUGUUGAGAGAGAAGUUUGUUCCGCAGUCAUCAGCGAGACACACGUCCAGGGGCUGUUUAAGGUCCCCCUGCAGAGCAGCAGCAGCCGUGUGACCUGUGCACUGGCGUCGCGAGAACGGAGGCCCAGGUGUAGAUUUAGUCUGUGUCCACCCUACAUCGUCCUCCCCCUGCCCUGCUGAGAUUCCACCGUGCGCUACAGACUCCUCAGUUGGGUUUUAUAUCCAAGGGCUGUUGAGGGUAACCUUUCCUCCAGGGGCUUGGAGUUGGGACUCUGGGCAAUUCCUCGAAGAGGCUUGGACCCGAGGACAAGGAGGAGAAGGCACAGGGCAGGAUGGCUGGCUGCCCAGAGCCUGGUGCAGUCCCAGGAUGGGGACAUGGGGGCUGCUGACCACCGAGCAGAGGCGUCUCUCUGACCCGUCUUCCCCUUCACGUCUUUCUGUCCGAAGCCAGAUUCUCUGCUCCUAAGGAUUCAUGUGAUUAUGGUAGGUCCCCCCUGGGUGGUCCAAGGUAAUCCCCCCACUUCAAGGUCCUUAAGCACAUCUGCAAAGUCCCUUUUGCCCUAUAAAGUGCCGUAUUCACAGGUUUCAGGGUUAGGAUGUGGACAUCUCUGGGGGCCAUUACUGUGUUGGCCACAGGGUGUAUCAGGGAGAGGAAGACCUCCUUCUCCUGCUUCUGAGCUCUCGGCUGGCCUGAGAUGGGCCCGCCCUGCAGCCUUGCCAGGUGGGCAGAGAGCUGGUGAGGCCUCUGGGGGUGGCCCCAUGGCUCAGCUGAUUUGGAGGCCCCGUAACCAUAAUCAUCCCUCGGGCUGACCUUGUACUAAGUCCCCAAGAGCAGACCCUGAGACAAAGGUUGGAGUGUGCCUAGCAUGUGUGGGAGGGUGCCAGUGCGAGACACAUACACUGACAGACAAUGGCCAGACCAGGCAUGACGACAGAACCCUGACCGCAGGCUGCAGCACCAGCCAGAGAGCCAGACCUCAGCCUCUGCAGCAACUGGCCCGAUGGCCAGGCUUGGUCAAUAACUGCCAGCUUCCCUAAUUUUUGUCCCCGCGUCCAACUUAGCAUCAACCAGAAGAGAAAGCCAACUGUGCCCCCUGACCUGUCACAGGAGACGCCCCACUCUAGUUGCCCGCAUCCGGUGCUCUCAGGCACCCUGAUCCUCCCUUUUUCCAUCAUAAAGCUUUCCCACCCCUGGCCUGCCACAUGCAGGUGAUGCUGGCUGACUCCCAGGCUGCCGGAAGCUCUGAAAUCGUUGCUGAUUUAAAUGGUUGGAGAUGGCACUCCCGCCUCAAUCCCCAUUCUGCUCUGAGGACCCACUUAUCACCUUGUUAAUUAAGUGCCCUGGGUGGAUCUUCUCUUGGCGUCUGUAAGUCUCGGGUGUCAUUCAUUUGGCUUGAUGCUGACACGGAACGGAGGAUAACCUAUUUCACUGGCUUUCCUUCCUCCUUAGUUUCUGUAGCCCUUGUAUAAAAUUUCCGGAUUGUAGUUCUAGGACCCUGAGGUGCUCCCUCUGGAGGAAGCCCCUGGUGUGGGUGAGUCGAGGCCUGGGUUCCGUGCUUCCCUUGCUUUUGCCCCAUCCUUAGUGACCUUCUCUGCUCCUGCAGCUGAGCCUGCCGAGGAGUUCCCCUGGGCACCUCUGGGAUUGGCCAACGCAGGGUGGGCUGGAUGUGCACAUUGUGUAUGAGGCAGGUGUGGGUGCCAGAGAACCACGGAUGCAGGAUCCCAGGAUGGUUGUCAAACUCAGUUCUUCACUUGAUUUCUUCUCACAACAUUUUAUUAUAAAAUUUUACAAACUUUUCCAGAGAAGUUGAAUGAAUUGUUCAGUGGAUACUCAUAUGCCCACCUCCCAGAUUCCACAGUUAACUUUUUCAACUUUUGCUUUUUCCAUCCAUCAAUGUGUCUUUUUGGUUUUGCCCAUUACAAAUUCACUGCCCUUGAGUUGAUGCUGAAUCCUGGGGAUCCCACCCUGCCCAGUGACUGCUUGACCUCUAUUUAAACUCUCCUGGAGACGGGAAACUCAGUACUGUUACACUUCUUCAUUCCAUCUGCUCUGGCUGUCACCAAGCCCCCUUCUGUGCCAGGGCUCCAAUGACAGUCUCUCCCAGGUGUGACCUCUCAAAAGAAGGGCCUGGAAGGGAACUGCGAGUCAGAGGCGCUGGGGCUGUUGGCGCCUGGGCCGGGCCUGCUGCAGGACUUCCCCAUCAGGAGGCCUCUGGCGGGUCCGCGAACGGGCAUUUCCGACAAGCUCCCAGCUGAGACUGCUGCUGUGUGUCCAGGACCCCAGGAGAAUCGCUGGCCCAAGCUCACACAGCGACUGGGAGGCACGGCCACCCCUUGAGCUGCCUGUCUCCUCAGGGGCCGGCUCAAGUCGUCCUCCCGGCUUCCUUGUGGCUUUCUUGUGGCUUUCCUCUCUACCUGAGUGUCCACUGGCUCUGCUGACCCUCAGGACUUGGGAUCCUGGCCAAGGCCCCAGAGGGAGGUGUCAUUAUUAGACGUGGAUGAACUAUCACACACAAUAACCUUUCUUUGCCCAGUUUAUUUUCUCACCACCCAAAGCUAAAAUGUUGUGGACAAAAAGCAAACAUGUCUGUCCAAGAAGGCCCUUGUCUCUUUCUGUAGACUGGGGAACGCUGUCUUUCAUACUCCACGUUUCCAAUUGUCAUUAAAGAAAGAGUAAACUUGCACUAAUUGUCAAUGGCUUAUUAGUACCUAUGUAGCUGACCAGGCUGGGGAUGAGUGUGAAUUUCAUUAGUUUCUCCAUGCCUUGGGGUUUGGCUCAAACUCUUGUAAAAGCUUUAAUUAACUCUU